CCUACGGGAGGCAGCAGUGGGGGAUAUUGCACAAUGGGGGAAACCCUGAUGCAGCGACGCCGCGUGUGGGAAGACGGUCUUCUGGAUUGUAAACCACUGUCCCCAGGGACGAAAAUGACGGUACCUGGGGAGUAAGCUCCGGCUAACUACGUGCCAGCAGCCGAGGUAAUACGUAGGGAGCAAGCGUUGUCCGGAAUUACUGGGUGUCAAGGGAGCGUAGGCGGGGAUGCAAGUUGGGUGUCAAAACUACCGGCUCAACCGAUAGUCGCACUCAAAACUGCAGUUCUUGAGUGAAGUAGAGGCAGGCGGCAUUUCUAGUGUAGCGGUGAAAUGCGUAGAUAUUAGGAGGAACACCAGUGGCGAAGGCGGCCUGCUGGGCUUUUACUGACGCUGAGGCUCGAAAGUGUGGGGAGCAAACAGGAUUAGAUACCCCUGUAGUC
This 440-nucleotide ribosomal RNA is filed under the name uncultured bacterium. RNAcentral's name for it is "partial 16S ribosomal RNA". It matches the Rfam family "Bacterial small subunit ribosomal RNA", at positions 338 to 795 of the family's 1533-position model. The record is from RNAcentral.